ACACCUACGGGUGGCAGCAGUGGGGAAUAUUGCACAAUGGGCGAAAGCCUGAUGCAGCAACGCCGCGUGAGGGACGAAGGCCUUCGGGUUGUAAACCUCUUUUAGUAGGGAAGUAAGGGAGCUUGCUCUUGACGGUACCUGCAGAAAAAGCACCGGCUAACUACGUGCCAGCAGCCGCGGUAAUACGUAGGGUGCAAGCGUUAUCCGGAAUUAUUGGGCGUAAAGAGCUCGUAGGCGGUUUGUCGCGUCUGCUGUGAAAACUGGAGGCUCAACCUCCAGCCUGCAGUGGGUACGGGCAGACUAGAGUGCGGUAGGGGAGAUUGGAAUUCCUGGUGUAGCGGUGGAAUGCGCAGAUAUCAGGAGGAACACCAAUGGGCGAAGGCAGAUCUCUGGGCCGUAACUGACGCUGAGGAGCGAAAGCAUGGGGAGCGAACAGGAUUAGAUACCCUGGUAGUCCAUGCCGUAAACGUUGGGAACUAGAUGUAGGGUCCAUUCCACGGAUUCUGUGUCGCAGCUAACGCAUUAAGUUCCCCGCCUGGGGAGUACGGCCGCAAGGCUAAAACUCAAAGGAAUUGACGGGGGCCCGCACAAGCGGCGGAGCAUGCGGAUUAAUUCGAUGCAACGCGAAGAACCUUACCAAGGCUUGACAUAUACCGGAAACGGCUGGGAAACAGUCGCCCCGCAAGGUCGGUAUACAGGUGGUGCAUGGUUGUCGUCAGCUCGUGUCGUGAGAUGUUGGGUUAAGUCCCGCAACGAGCGCAACCCUCGUUCUAUGUUGCCAGCACGUAAUGGUGGGAACUCAUAGGAGACUGCCGGGGUCAACUCGGAGGAAGGUGGGGAUGACGUCAAAUCAUCAUGCCCCUUAUGUCUUGGGCUUCACGCAUGCUACAAUGGCCGGUACAAAGGGCUGCAAUACCGCAAGGUGGAGCGAAUCCCAAAAAGCCGGUCUCAGUUCGGAUUGAGGUCUGCAACUCGACCUCAUGAAGUCGGAGUCGCUAGUAAUCGCAGAUCAGCAACGCUGCGGUGAAUACGUUCCCGGGCCUUGUACACACCGCCCGU
This 1059-nucleotide ribosomal RNA is filed under the name uncultured bacterium. RNAcentral describes it as "bacterial SSU rRNA". It matches the Rfam family "Bacterial small subunit ribosomal RNA", at positions 335 to 1397 of the family's 1533-position model. The record is from RNAcentral.